RNAcentral lists this ribosomal RNA (439 nucleotides) under uncultured bacterium. Its description in RNAcentral is "partial 16S ribosomal RNA". It matches the Rfam family "Bacterial small subunit ribosomal RNA", at positions 339 to 795 of the family's 1533-position model. The record is from RNAcentral.
CUACGGGGUGCUGCAGUGGGGAAUAUUGCACAAUGGAGGAAACUCUGAUGCAGCAACGCCGCGUGGAGGAUGACACUUUUCGGAGCGUAAACUCCUUUUAUAUAGGAAGAAGAUGACGGUACUAUAUGAAUAAGCGCCGGCUAACUCCGUGCCAGCAGCCGCGGUAAUACGGAGGGCGCAAGCGUUACUCGGAAUCACUGGGCGCAAAGAGCGUGUAGGCGGAUUAAAAAGUCAGAAGUGAAAUCCUAUAGCUUAACUAUAGAACUGCUUCUGAAACUCUUAAUCUAGAAUAUGGGAGAGGUAGAUGGAAUUUCUGGUGUAGGAGUAAAAUCCGUAGAGAUCAGAAGGAAUACCGAUUGCGAAGGCGAUCUACUAGAGCAUUAUUGACGCUGAGACGCGAAAGCGUGGAGAGCAAACAGGAUUAGAUACCCCCGUAGUC